This 467-nucleotide ribosomal RNA is filed under the name uncultured bacterium. RNAcentral describes it as "partial 16S ribosomal RNA". It matches the Rfam family "Bacterial small subunit ribosomal RNA", at positions 28 to 507 of the family's 1533-position model. The record is from RNAcentral.
GACGAACGCUGGCGGCGUGCUUAACACAUGCAAGUCGAACGAUGACGACCGAGCUUGCUCGGUCUGAUUAGUGGCGAACGGGUGAGUAACACGUGAGCAACCUGCCCUUCACUCUGGGAUAACCUCGGGAAAUCGGGGCUAAUACCGGAUAUGAGCUCCUGUCGCAUGGCGGGUGUUGGAAAGUUUUUCGGUGAAGGAUGGGCUCGCGGCCUAUCAGUUUGUUGGUGAGGUAGUGGCUCACCAAGGCGAUGACGGGUAGCCGGCCUGAGAGGGCGACCGGCCACACUGGGACUGAGACACGGCCCAGGCUCCUACGGGAGGCAGCAGUGGGGAAUAUUGCACAAUGGGCGAAAGCCUGAUGCAGCGACGCCGCGUGAGGGAUGACGGCCUUCGGGUUGUAAACCUCUUUCAGCAGGGAAGAAGCGAAAGUGACGGUACCUGCAGAAGAAGCGCCGGCUAACUACGUG